RNAcentral lists this ribosomal RNA (754 nucleotides) under uncultured bacterium. Its description in RNAcentral is "bacterial SSU rRNA". It matches the Rfam family "Bacterial small subunit ribosomal RNA", at positions 8 to 796 of the family's 1533-position model. The record is from RNAcentral.
AGAGUUUGAUCAUGGCUCAGAAUCAACGCUGGCGGCGCGCCUAACACAUGCAAGUCGAACGAGAAAGUGGAGCAAUCCAUGAGUAAAGUGGCGUACGGGUGAGUAACACGUGGAUCAUCUACCCUCUAGUGGGGAAUACCGCUGGGAACCGGCGACAAUACCGCAUAAGCUCGAGAGAGGAAAGCAGCAAUGCGCUGGAGGAGGAGUCCGCGGUCGAUUAGUUAGUUGGCAGGGUAAAGGCCUACCAAGACUGUGAUCGAUAGCCGGCCUGAGAGGGCACACGCCACACUGGCACUGAAACACGGGCCAGACUCCUACGGGAGGCAGCAGUGGGGAAUCUUGCACAAUGGAGGAAACUCUGAUGCAGCGACGCCGCGUGAGCGAUGAAGCCCUUCGGGGUGUAAAGCUCUUUCGGCAGGGAAGAUUAUGACGGUACCUGCAGAAGCAGCUGCGGCUAACUACGUGCCAGCAGCCGCGGUAAUACGUAGGCAGCAAGCGUUGUUCGGAGUUACUGGGCGUAAAGGGUGCGUAGGCGGCUUUUUAAGUUUGGUGUGAAAUCUCCCGGCUCAACUGGGAGGGUGCGCCGAAUACUGAGAGGCUAGAGUGCGGGAGAGGAAAGUGGAAUUCCUGGUGUAGCGGUGAAAUGCGUAGAUAUCAGGAGGAACACCGGUGGUGUAAACGGCUUUCUGGACCGUAACUGACGCUGAUGCACGAAAGCGUGGGUAGCAAACAGGAUUAGAUACCCUAGUAGUCC